GUUUUAAUAAUUUAAAAAAAAUAUUAGUCUUGUAAACUAAAACUAGGUAACUCUUUAAAACU
Molecule: transfer RNA, 62 nt
Filed under: Nesophrosyne montium
Lineage: Eukaryota; Metazoa; Arthropoda; Insecta; Hemiptera; Cicadellidae
Description: tRNA-Thr
Source: RNAcentral